GAUGAACGCUGGCGGCGUGCUUAACACAUGCAAGUCGAACGAUGGAGCCCAGCUUGCUGGGUGGAUUAGUGGCGAACGGGUGAGUAACACGUGAGUAACCUGCCCUUAACUCUGGGAUAAGCCUGGGAAACUGGGUCUAAUACCGGAUAGGAGCGCCUACCGCAUGGUGGGUUUUGGAAAGAUUUAUCGGUUUUGGCUGGACUCGCGGCCUAUCAGCUCUUUGGUGAGGUAAUGGCUCACCAACGCGACGACGGGUAGCCGGCCUGAGAGGGUGACCGGCCACAAUGGGCCUGAGAGACGGACCAGACUGCUACGGGAGGCAGCAGUGGGGAAUAUUGCACAAUGGGCGAAAGCCUGAUGCAGCGGCGCCGCGUGAGGGAUGACGGCCUUCGGGUUGUAAACCUCUUUCAGUAGGGAAGAAGCGAAAGUGACGGUACCUGCAGAAGAAGCACCGGCUAACUACGUG
This 466-nucleotide ribosomal RNA is filed under the name uncultured bacterium. Its description in RNAcentral is "partial 16S ribosomal RNA". It matches the Rfam family "Bacterial small subunit ribosomal RNA", at positions 28 to 507 of the family's 1533-position model. The record is from RNAcentral.